GACGAACGCUGGCGGCGUGCUUAACACAUGCAAGUCGAACGGAAAGGCCCUGCUUUUGUGGGGUGCUCGAGUGGCGAACGGGUGAGUAACACGUGAGUAACCUGCCCUUGACUUUGGGAUAACUUCAGGAAACUGGGGCUAAUACCGGAUAGGAGCUCCUGCUGCAUGGUGGGGGUUGGAAAGUUUCGGCGGUUGGGGAUGGACUCGCGGCUUAUCAGCUUGUUGGUGGGGUAGUGGCUUACCAAGGCUUUGACGGGUAGCCGGCCUGAGAGGGUGACCGGCCACAUUGGGACUGAUAUACGGCCCAGACUCCUACGGGAGGCAGCAGUGGGGAAUAUUGCACAAUGGGCGGAAGCCUGAUGCAGCAACGCCGCGUGCGGGAUGACGGCCUUCGGGUUGUAAACCUCUUUCGCCUGUGACGAAGCGUGAGUGACGGUAAUGGGUAAAGAAGCACCGGCUAACUACGUG
RNAcentral lists this ribosomal RNA (468 nucleotides) under uncultured bacterium. RNAcentral's name for it is "partial 16S ribosomal RNA". It matches the Rfam family "Bacterial small subunit ribosomal RNA", at positions 28 to 507 of the family's 1533-position model. The record is from RNAcentral.